Molecule: ribosomal RNA, 870 nt
Filed under: human gut metagenome
Description: bacterial SSU rRNA
Rfam family: Bacterial small subunit ribosomal RNA
Source: RNAcentral
AGAGUUUGAUCCUGGCUCAGGAUGAACGCUGGCGGCGUGCCUAAUACAUGCAAGUCGAGCGAAGCACUUGUGCUCGAGUGGCGAACGGGUGAGUAAUACAUAAGUAACCUGCCCUAGACAGGGGGAUAACUAUUGGAAACGAUAGCUAAGACCGCAUAGGUACGGACACUGCAUGGUGACCGUAUUAAAAGUGCCUCAAAGCACUGGUAGAGGAUGGACUUAUGGCGCAUUAGCUGGUUGGCGGGGUAACGGCCCACCAAGGCGACGAUGCGUAGCCGACCUGAGAGGGUGACCGGCCACACUGGGACUGAGACACGGCCCAGACUCCUACGGGAGGCAGCAGUAGGGAAUUUUCGGCAAUGGGGGAAACCCUGACCGAGCAACGCCGCGUGAAGGAAGAAGGUUUUCGGAUUGUAAACUUCUGUUAUAAAGGAAGAACGGCGGCUACAGGAAAUGGUAGCCGAGUGACGGUACUUUAUUAGAAAGCCACGGCUAACUACGUGCCAGCAGCCGCGGUAAUACGUAGGUGGCAAGCGUUAUCCGGAAUUAUUGGGCGUAAAGAGGGAGCAGGCGGCAGCAAGGGUCUGUGGUGAAAGCCUGAAGCUUAACUUCAGUAAGCCAUAGAAACCAGGCAGCUAGAGUGCAGGAGAGGAUCGUGGAAUUCCAUGUGUAGCGGUGAAAUGCGUAGAUAUAUGGAGGAACACCAGUGGCGAAGGCGACGAUCUGGCCUGCAACUGACGCUCAGUCCCGAAAGCGUGGGGAGCAAAUAGGAUUAGAUACCCUAGUAGUCCACGCCGUAAACGAUGAGUACUAAGUGUUGGAUGUCAAAGUUCAGUGCUGCAGUUAACGCAAUAAGUACUCCGCCUGAGU